GUUGAACGCUGGCGGCAGGCCUAACACAUGCAGGUCGAGCGGAUGAAGGGAGCUUGCUCCUGGAUUCAGCGGCGGACGGGUGAGUAAUGCCUAGGAAUCUGCCUGGUUGUGGUGGAUAACGUCCGGAAACGGGCGCUAAUACCGCAUACGUCCUGAGGGAGAAAGUGGGGGAUCUUCGGACCUCACGCUAUCAGAUGAGCCUAGGUCGGAUUAGCUAGUUGGUGGGGUAAAGGCCUACCAAGGCGACGAUCCGUAGCUGGUCUGAGAGGAUGAUCAGUCACACGGGAACUGAGACAAGGUCCAGACUCCUACGGGAGGCAGCAGUGGGGAAUAUUGGACAAUGGGCGUAAGCCUGAUCCAGCCAUACCGAGUGGGUGAAGAAGGCCUUCGGGUUGUAAAGCCCUUUUGUUGGGAAAGAAAAGCAGCAGGUUAAUACCCCGCUGUUCUGACGGUACCAAAAGAAUAAGCACCGGCUAACUUCGUG
RNAcentral lists this ribosomal RNA (484 nucleotides) under uncultured bacterium. RNAcentral describes it as "partial 16S ribosomal RNA". It matches the Rfam family "Bacterial small subunit ribosomal RNA", at positions 28 to 507 of the family's 1533-position model. The record is from RNAcentral.